This 1298-nucleotide ribosomal RNA is filed under the name metagenome. RNAcentral's name for it is "bacterial LSU rRNA". It matches the Rfam family "Bacterial large subunit ribosomal RNA", at positions 1635 to 2925 of the family's 2925-position model. The record is from RNAcentral.
AACACGACCUUACCGCAAACCGACACUGGUGCGCGAGAUGAGUAUUCUAAGGCGCUUGAGAGAACUCAGGAGAAGGAACUCGGCAAAUUGACACCGUAACUUCGGAAGAAGGUGUGCCUUUAGUAGGUGAAGUCCCUCGCGGAUGGAGCCCAAUGAGGUUGCAAAAAAUCGGUGGCUGCGACUGUUUAUUAAAAACACAGCACUCUGCAAACACGAAAGUGGACGUAUAGGGUGUGACGCCUGCCCGGUGCUGGAAGAUUAAAUGAUGGGGUGCAAGCUCUUGAUUGAAGACCCAGUAAACGGCGGCCGUAACAAUAACGGUCCUAAGGUAGCGAAAUUCCUUGUCGGGUAAGUUCCGACCUGCACGAAUGGCGUAGCGAUGGCACACUGUCUCCUCCUGAGACUCAGCGAAGUUGAAAUGUUUGUGAUGAUGCAAUCUCCCCGCGGAAAGACGGAAAGACCCCAUGAACCUUUACCGUAGCUUUGUAUUGGACUUUGAACAGAUCUGUGUAGGAUAGGUGGGAGGCUUUGAAGCAGGGUCGCUAGAUCUUGUGGAGCCAACGUUGAAAUACCACCCUGGUGUGUUUGAGGUUCUAACCUAGGCCCGUAAUCCGGGUUGGGGACAGUGCAUGGUAGGCAGUUUGACUGGGCGGUCUCCUCCCAAAGUGUAACGGAGGAGUUCGAAGGUACGCUAGUUACGGUCGGACAUCGUGACGAUAGUGCAAUGGCAUAAGCGUGCUUAACUGCGAGACUGACAAGUCGAGCAGAUGCGAAAGCAGGACAUAGUGAUCCGGUGGUUCUGUAUGGAAGGGCCAUCGCUCAACGGAUAAAAGGUACUCUGGGGAUAACAGGCUGAUACCGCCCAAGAGUUCAUAUCGACGGCGGUGUUUGGCACCUCGAUGUCGGCUCAUCUCAUCCUGGGGCUGUAGCCGGUCCCAAGGGUAUGGCUGUUCGCCAUUUAAAGAGGUACGUGAGCUGGGUUUAAAACGUCGUGAGACAGUUUGGUCCCUAUCUUCCGUGGGCGCUGCAGAUUUGAGGGAGCCUGCUCCUAGUACGAGAGGACCGGAGUGGACGCACCUCUGGUGUAUCGGUUGUCACGCCAGUGGCAUUGCCGAGUAGCUAUGUGCGGAAGAGAUAACCGCUGAAAGCAUCUAAGCGGGAAACUCGUUACAAGAUGAGAUCUGCCGGGGCCUUGAGCCCCCUGAAGAGUCGUUCAAGACCAGGACGUUGAUAGGUCGGGUGUGGAAGCGCAGUAAUGCGUUAAGCUAACCGAUACUAAUUGCUCGUGCGGCUUGACC